RNAcentral lists this ribosomal RNA (422 nucleotides) under uncultured bacterium. Its description in RNAcentral is "bacterial SSU rRNA". It matches the Rfam family "Bacterial small subunit ribosomal RNA", at positions 355 to 774 of the family's 1533-position model. The record is from RNAcentral.
UGAGGAAUAUUGGUCAAUGGGCGCAAGCCUGAACCAGCCGUCCCGCGUGAAGGAUGAAGGCCCUAUGGGUCGUAAACUUCUUUUAUACACCAAGAAAAAGCAGGACGUGUCCUGCCCCGACGGUAGUGUAUGUAUAAGCAUCGGCUAACUCCGUGCCAGCAGCCGCGGUAAUACGGAGGAUGCGAGCGUUAUCCGGGUUCAUUGGGUUUAAAGGGUGCGUAGGCGGCUUUUUAAGUCAGUGGUGAAAUCUUGCCGCUUAACGGUAAAAUUGCCAUUGAUACUGAUAAGCUUGAGUACAAUUGAGGUAAGCGGAAUGUGUAGUGUAGCGGUGAAAUGCUUAGAUAUCAUCCAGAACACCGAUUGCGAAGGCAGGUGGCUACGUUUGAUUUGACACUGAGGCACGAAAGCAUGGGGAGCAAACA